Molecule: ribosomal RNA, 502 nt
Filed under: uncultured Sphingobacteriales bacterium
Lineage: Bacteria; Pseudomonadati; Bacteroidota; Sphingobacteriia; Sphingobacteriales
Description: bacterial SSU rRNA
Rfam family: Bacterial small subunit ribosomal RNA
Source: RNAcentral
CGCCUUGCCAGCCCGCUCAGAAACGUUAAGGAAUGACGGGGGCCCGCACAAGCGGUGGAGCAUGUGGUUUAAUUCGAUGAUACGCGAGGAACCUUACCUGGGCUCAAAUGUAUGUUGACGUAUUCUGAAAGGGAUACUUCUUCGGACAAUAUACAAGGUGCUGCAUGGUUGUCGUCAGCUCGUGCCGUGAGGUGUCGGGUUAAGUCCCAUAACGAGCGCAACCCCUAUCAUUAGUUGCCAUCAGGUCAAGCUGGGGACUCUAAUGAAACUGCCUACGCAAGUAGUGAGGAAGGUGGGGAUGACGUCAAAUCAGCACGGCCCUUACGUCCAGGGCUACACACGUGCUACAAUGGUCGGUACAAAGGGUUGCCAAGCCGCGAGGUGGAGCUAAUCCCAUAAAACCGAUCGUAGUCCGGAUCGCAGUCUGCAACUCGACUGCGUGAAGUCGGAAUCGCUAGUAAUCGUGAAUCAGAAUGUCACGGUGAAUACGUUCCCGGGCCUU